CACGAGCAGAGCAGCCCGGGGUGGGGCAGUGGGGACAGCCAUGGGAGAAGCGGUCGGGGAUGGAGCGGAUGGAACAAAUGGGACCCUCGGCGUAGCCAGAGCAGCGACCACAGACCACGCGGCAGGAGAGACCCUAGACAGAGCGGCUGCAAGCCAGGUGGCUGGGACUGGGUCAGACAAAUCCACAGGCGGUCCCAGAGCCGGCAGAGGGCAGAAGGGAUAGAAGGACCUCCUAGGCGCGCCCCGGGAUCUUCCCGGAGGAGCUCUGCUGUGUGUUUUGCCUUCUGUGGAGACAGACAAGGACCUGCUGGCGUGUGGAGGAUUCGUACCACCCUAGCCUGCUGCCAAGAAGACAACAACCCCCCCCUCGGACGGUGAGAGGAGAGGGGGAUAUUUGCAUCUCAGGAGACAUGCAAAUUUCCCCCAAACCCAGACUACCUUAGGACAGGACCUUUACCAAAUCCUGGAAAAUACCCCAAAAGAGACGAGCCGAAACAGAAUUAAAAGGUCAGAGUGGUGUCUGGACAGCAGGGCCGAGGUC
Molecule: long non-coding RNA, 541 nt
Organism: Serinus canaria (Common canary)
Lineage: Eukaryota; Metazoa; Chordata; Aves; Passeriformes; Fringillidae
Exons: 3
Source: RefSeq, a predicted model, not a curated record